GACGAACGCUGGCGGCGUGCUUAACACAUGCAAGUCGAACGGAAAGGCCCUGCGUUUGUGGGGUGCUCGAGUGGCGAACGGGUGAGUAACACGUGAGUAACCUGCCCUUGACGUUGGGAUAACUUCAGGAAACUGGGGCCAAUACCGGAUAGGAGCUCCUGCUGCAUGGUGGGGGUUGGAAAGUUUCGGCGGCCGGGGAUGGACGCGCGGCUUAUCAGCUUGUUGGUGGGGUAGUGGCUUACCAAGUCUUUGACGGGUAGCCGGCCUGGGAGGGUGACCGGCCUCCUUGGGACUGAGAGAGGGACCAGACUGCUACGGGCGGCAGCAGGCGGGAGCAUUGCGCAAUGACGGGGCGCCAGAUGCAGAAACGCCCGGAGCGGGAAGACGGGCUUCGGGUUGUGAACAAAUUUCGCAUGUAACGUAGAGGGCGUGACGGUAAUUGGUAAAGAAGCACCGGCUAACUACGUG
This 468-nucleotide ribosomal RNA is filed under the name uncultured bacterium. Its description in RNAcentral is "partial 16S ribosomal RNA". It matches the Rfam family "Bacterial small subunit ribosomal RNA", at positions 28 to 507 of the family's 1533-position model. The record is from RNAcentral.